This 834-nucleotide long non-coding RNA is filed under the name Ananas comosus (pineapple). Its description in RNAcentral is "long non-coding RNA (ACOM_LNC033304)". The record is from RNAcentral. Lineage: Eukaryota; Viridiplantae; Streptophyta; Magnoliopsida; Poales; Bromeliaceae.
AAAUUCUAUUUGUACACUCCGAACGAGGAGUGUCGAUCUUAUAUUUUUUUUAGACUAAAUUACAGAAAAUCCCCCUGUAAUAAUCCGCUUUUUCACUUUUCCCCCCUGACAUUUAAAAACCUACACUUUGCCCCCUUAUAAAAUGAAAAAUGUUCACAGGGGGGUUACGGUGUGUAAAAUGACCAUUUUGCCCCUCGCAAUUGUUGUCUUCUUCCUGAGCUUCCUCGGCAGCCCCUUCGAUCCGCUGCUAUUUCCACCUCAAUCGGCCACGAUUCCUCUCCAAUUUCUUCUCCACCUGCUCCCCUUCUCCUCCUACAUCGUCGCCGCCCAUCAAUUUCGGCGACUGUAGGGAGGAUACUAAGAUGGGUGUUGAUGGAGAGAUAGGCAGAGACAACGUGGGCGAAGGCGAGGCGGCGGAGGAGGAGAAGGGGAUGUGAGCGAGGGCGAAGCAGUGGAGGAUGGCGAGGCGGCGAGGCGGCGAAGCGGCGAGCCGGAGGGAGCGAAGCAUCAGAGAAGAGGCGGAGGGGUAUUUUCGGUAUAAAAAAAUAUUUUUUAACAGAACCCCUAACGGAACCCUAACGGUAGGAGUGAAGUGCACAUUUUUUAUUUUACAAGGGGGCAAAGUGUAGGUUUUUAAAUGUCAGGAGGGGAAAUUAAAAAAGCGGGUUAUUACAGGGGGGUUUUCUGUAAUUUAGCUUUUUUUUUAUUCUAGAGUUCGCAAAAAUUUAAAUAAUUUUAGUAUAAAAAAAUAAUAUGCUAAGUAGAAAAUUAAUAGUCUUUAAAUAAUGAAGGCGUAAGUUGUAUAUAAUAGCAUUAUUUUUUAAAUAAUUAUAU